Cygnus olor (mute swan) is the source of this 2218-nucleotide long non-coding RNA. RefSeq lists it as uncharacterized. The record is from RefSeq and is a predicted model, not a curated record. The transcript has 6 exons. NCBI's taxonomy places the organism in Eukaryota, Metazoa, Chordata, Aves, Anseriformes, Anatidae.
UAAAUCAAGCCUUUUGUUUUUCUCACUGGAUUUUUCAGUGAGAUGCUGCAACAAGCAAACCAAAUCCUUCCUUGGUCCGUUUGAUCCUUGGCUACUCCAGCUUCUCCUUGUUCGAGCAGAAAGAGAAGGGCAAACUAAAGUAUUAUACAAGUGUCAGAUCUGAGAAGUACUAGCUCCCAGGUCCAAACCCCCUUGGCUCAUUCCUGAGGUUUGUAUGUCCCUGAUGAUGUAGGGCCUAUUAAAAAAAGACCACAUCCUCAAGACAUCCCUUCCUUAAGUGAUGCACUGUCUCCAGUAUUUUUACAGGACAGCACUAAUUUUUCAUAAUGAGACACAUUAGGCUCCAGCCCUUUAAUAGACUUGUCAAGUCUCAUGUAUUCAGAAUGAAAUUAGCUCAUUUAGUUCCUGUCUCUCACUCCCCUGUUGUGCUGCUGAUGAUAAGAUGCAGAUGUGCUGUGCCAUGCCCCUCUGCUGCUCCAGGAGGACCUGCCCAAAUGUAGCCAGGCAAUUUGGUACUGCCAGGAAGGCAAGCAGCACAGUCUGUGUGGUGAGCACUGCAGAAUGCUGCCCUGUCCAUGUCAUCCACGCUCCCUUAUUAUGUCACAAAGUGCAUGGACAUCUGUGGGAGCCCUCUGUGCUUACCCAGAACAGGCAUGGGAGAGGAGGCCUCUUAGCCUGGGACCUUGGUCUGCUUUGUCCAGCAUUAGAGAUGUUCCCUGGCUGGUCCUCUUUCCUGUAGGUGUGGAUGGUGCCUCCAGAGGGGGAGAAAGAUCCUUAUUACUACUCUGAAUGCAACACGUUGUCUCAAAACCAUCUAUAGAGCUCCAGGCCCAGAGAUGUUCCCCUACCACAGAGGCUUACUGGUGUCUCCAGGACAUCAGCUUGCAUCUAAGCCCUGGACAAAUUCCAGUGUCCCAGCUAAAGGAGUGGAGCAGGACAAUCCAAAGGAAGCAGGAGAGGGUGAACGUGAGGACAGAAUAGCAAGCUGGUGGGUCUGCUGAAGCCUUAACAAGUCUUGUCCCAUGGUACAAGAUUUGGAAAUGUCAGGAGGUUCAAAAGCGUCACCCAUAAGGAAUGGACCUCUGAUUUUCUUUCUUCCCUACAUUGGAUUUCCAAGUGUUGAAAGGCUUCUGAUCCAUUAAAGACUUCAUGGCAGGAGGUUGUUUACUGAUUCAAGGGACAUCUAUAGAUAAUAUUGAUUCUAAUAAUAGCCUACCCACAGCUUUGCAGAAGAAGGUAUCCCUUCUGGCACUUUAUUUCUGCUCCCCCAAAAGUGACUUCAGUCAUGUGAAACAAUGGAGAGUCUCCAAAAUAGUGAGGAAGAGGCAGAAAGUGAAGCUAUGAAGUAAAGAAGUGUGAAAACACCAGGAAGAGGAGGACGGAGUGAGAGCAGUCCUGAAGAUAGAUCUUGGAGGAAAGGGUGAAGGAAGGGAAAGUGACAGGAAAGAUCAACAAAAGAAGGGGAAAAGGUGACAGCAUAUGUGCUUGGGAAAUGAAUGUAGAGGAUGAAGAGAAAGCAAAGGGGGGGUGUAUGUGUAUGUGUGUGGAGGGAGAGAUUAGAAGAGGCAGUAACAGAAAGAAGUGAAGUUGUCUAACAUGUAGAGAUGGGAAGUGACAUGUUUGUUUGAAUUCUGGGGCUGCUCAGCCUGGCUGCACUCUGGUUUCUGCCUUUGAUCAGCUGCAUGGCAGACUGGUGUCAGAUCAGAAAGCAAAUGAGAUGAUAAAGCGGCUGAGGCUGCAGUGAGUUUAACAGCAGCAGAGUGGCAGGGGAUGGGGGGGAGGAACUGCUGAAUGAGGUGAAUGUUUUCUGUGCUUCAGUUCGCAGGGUCCUGGUGGCGAAUGCAGCUGCCUCCCCUGCAGAGAGGCUGAGCCUGGUCGGAGCAAGAAGCUCGGCUGCACCGCUCACCUGCAGGAGAAGGACCCAUCACUCCGUGCUGGUACCGUUGUCAGCAGUGCUCUUGCCGAUUGCAAGAGCGGUGGAAGCAUCAAAGGGGUGCCCUUGGAAUGUGUGCCUAAUGAUGAUCAAUGAAAAUAGAAGCCCUGUUGCAGCGAGACUCAUGAGGUGCUGCUCACAGCUGGCACACGGAGGCAUGGUUGUAAAAAGAAGAUGCUGGGCAUUGGGACUAAUUGUCCCACCAGAUUCCUUCUCACCUUGGAAAACCCUUGUCUCCUCCCAGCAGGGGAGAUGGGCCGCCUGUCCUGGUGUGGAUACUGGUAU